AGUCGAACGGAAGUUUAAGCAAUUAAACUCUAGUGGCGAACGGGUGAGUAACGCGUAAGCAAUCUGCCCCUAAGACGAGGAUAACAGUUGGAAACGACUGCUAAGACUGGAUAGGAGACAAGAAGGCAUCUUCUUGUUUUUAAAAGACCUAGCAAUAGGUAUGCUUAGGGAGGAGCUUGCGUCACAUUAGUUAGUUGGUGGGGCAAAGGCCUACCAAGACUAUGAUGUGUAGCCGGGCUGAGAGGUUGAACGGCCACAUUGGGACUGAGACACGGCCCAAACUCCUACGGGAGGCAGCAGUAGGAAAUUUUCGGCAAUGGAGGAAACUCUGACCGAGCAACGCCGCGUGAACGAUGAAGUAUUUCGGUACGUAAAGUUCUUUUAUUAGGGAAGAAUAAAUGAUGGAAAAAUCAUUCUGACGGUACCUAAUGAAUAAGCCCCGGCAAACUAUGUGCCAGCAGCCGCGGUAAUACAUAGGGGGCAAGCGUUAUCCGGAAUUAUUGGGCGUAAAGGGUGCGUAGGCGGUUAAAUAAGUUUAUGGUCUAAGUGCAAUGCUCAACAUUGUGAUGCUAUAAAAACUGUUUAGCUAGAGUAAGAUAGAGGCAAGUGGAAUUCCAUGUGUAGUGGUAAAAUGCGUAAAUAUAUGGAGGAACACCAGUAGCGAAGGCGGCUUGCUGGGUCUUUACUGACGCUGAGGCACGAAAGCGUGGGGAGCAAACAGGAUUAGAUACCCUGGUAGUCCACCGCCGUAAACGAUGAGUACUAAACGUUGGGUAAAACCAGUGUUGAAGUUAACACAUUAAGUACUCCGCCUGAGUAGUACGUACGCAAGUAUGAAACUUAAAGGAAUUGACGGGACUCCGCACAAGCGGUGGAUCAUGUUGUUUAAUUCGAAGGUACCCGAAAAACCUCACCAGGUCUUGACAUGCUUCUGCAAAGCUGUAGAAACACAGUGGAGGUUAUCAGUUGCACAGGUGGUGCAUGGGUGUCGUCAGCUCGUGUCGUGAGAUGUUGGGUUAAGUCCCGCAACGAGCGCAACCCUUAUUGUUAGUUACCAGCACGUAAUGGUGGGGACUUUAGCAAGACUGCCAGUGAUAAAUUGGAGGAAGGUGGGGACGACGUCAAAUCAUCAUGCCCCUUAUGACCUGGGCUACAAACGUGAUACAAUGGCUGUUACAAAGGGUAGCUGAAGCGCAAGUUUUUGGCGAAUCUCAAAAAAACAGUCUCAGUUCGGAUUGAAGUCUGCAACUCGACUUCAUGAAGUUGGAAUCGCUAGUAAUCGCGAAUCAGCAUGUCGCGGUGAAUACGUUCUCGGGGUUUGUACACACCGCCCGUCAAACCACGAAAGUUGGUAAUACCCAAAGCCGGUGGCCUAACUUCGCAAGAAGAGGGAACCGUCUAAGGUAGGGUCGAUGAUUGGGGUUAAG
Molecule: ribosomal RNA, 1427 nt
Filed under: Sandal spike phytoplasma
Lineage: Bacteria; Bacillati; Mycoplasmatota; Mollicutes; Acholeplasmatales; Acholeplasmataceae
Description: bacterial SSU rRNA
Rfam family: Bacterial small subunit ribosomal RNA
Source: RNAcentral